RNAcentral lists this non-coding RNA (45 nucleotides) under Schistosoma margrebowiei. The record is from RNAcentral. Lineage: Eukaryota; Metazoa; Platyhelminthes; Trematoda; Strigeidida; Schistosomatidae.
AUCCAGUUGAAGAGUCCUACACCGGACGAGACGUGCUUACUGGAU